RNAcentral lists this ribosomal RNA (250 nucleotides) under uncultured bacterium. RNAcentral's name for it is "partial 16S ribosomal RNA". It matches the Rfam family "Bacterial small subunit ribosomal RNA", at positions 524 to 773 of the family's 1533-position model. The record is from RNAcentral.
UACGGAGGGGGCUAGCGUUGUUCGGAAUUACUGGGCGUAAAGGGCACGUAGGCGGCGCAGCAAGUUAGAUGUGAAAGACCUGGGCUCAACCGAGGAAUUGCAUUUAGUACUGCUGUGCUAGAGUCCGAGAGAGGUGAGUGGAAUUCCCAGUGUAGAGGUGAAAUUCGUAGAUAUUGGGAAGAACACCAGUGGCGAAGGCGGCUCACUGGCUCGGUACUGACGCUGAGGUGCGAAAGCGUGGGGAGCAAAC